RNAcentral lists this ribosomal RNA (232 nucleotides) under uncultured bacterium. RNAcentral describes it as "partial 16S ribosomal RNA". It matches the Rfam family "Bacterial small subunit ribosomal RNA", at positions 15 to 236 of the family's 1533-position model. The record is from RNAcentral.
GAUCAUGGCUCAGGAUGAACGCUAGCUACAGGCUUAGCACAUGCAAGUCGAGGGGAAACGACAUCGAAAGCUUGCUUUUGAUGGGCGUCGACCGGCGCACGGGUGAGUAACGCGUAUCCAACCUGCCCAUCACUUGGGAAUAACCUUGCGAAAGUAGACUAAUGCCCAAUGACAUCCCACGAAGGCAUCCGAAUGGGAUUAAAGAUUUAUCGGUGUAAGAUGGACCCGGCGU